GAUCAACAGAAUUAUAAAGAUGGACUAUUUGGCAUGGCUUGGAUUACAUACUUAUCCCUGAACACGUCAGUAGGGAACAGGAGACACGAAUCUGUCAUUAGGACCCCUCGAGAUAAUCAUAUAUGGUCGAAGUGUGGGAGAAAUAUUUCCCCCCAAAAGGGAAUUUGGUCUCAGAGAAUGAGUACUCAGGAUAUAAACCACAGUCCUUAGUCUUAGACAACAAUUUUAAAGAUAAAAAAGAAUCCAUUGUGUGUGUGUACGAAUGAAAUUGGAUCCUGGAAGUCAAGGAGACCCAAGAAAGCAUGAUAUAUCAGAGGAGCCAGAAGGACCAAACGGAGCUGGUGUACAGGACGUUACAAAGUGUUAAGAGAUGAGAUGCUGAAAAAGCCCUGGGGCUGAUAGAGGAUCCAGAUGGAAACAGCUCAAGCCAUCCACUGACCAAAACACCCUUGAAGUUCAUUGAGUUGGUGAAAUAUAAACUUCUAUGUUUUAAUCCA
Sus scrofa (pig) is the source of this 497-nucleotide long non-coding RNA. RefSeq lists it as uncharacterized. The record is from RefSeq and is a predicted model, not a curated record. NCBI's taxonomy places the organism in Eukaryota, Metazoa, Chordata, Mammalia, Artiodactyla, Suidae.